RNAcentral lists this ribosomal RNA (854 nucleotides) under uncultured bacterium. Its description in RNAcentral is "bacterial SSU rRNA". It matches the Rfam family "Bacterial small subunit ribosomal RNA", at positions 8 to 852 of the family's 1533-position model. The record is from RNAcentral.
AGAGUUUGAUUCCUGGCUCAGAUUGAACGCUUAGCGGGAUGCUUUUACACAUGCAAGUCGAACGGCAGCACGAGGAAGUUUACUUCUUUGGUGGCGAGUGGCGGACGGGUGAGUAAUGUAUCGGAACGUGCCCAGUAGUGGGGGAUAACUACGCGAAAGCGUAGCUAAUACCGCAUAUUCUCUUCGGAGGAAAGGGGGGGAUCAUUUGACCUCUCGCUAUUGGAGCGGCCGAUAUCAGAUUUAGUUAGUUGGUGGGGUAACGGCCUACCAAGGCAGUGAUCUGUAGCUGGUUUGAGAGGACGACCAGCCACACUGGGACUGAGACACGGCCCAGACUCCUACGGGAGGCAGCAGUGGGGAAUUUUCGACAAUGGGGGAAACCCUGAUCGAGCCAUCCCGCGUGUGGGACGAAGGCCUUCGGGUUGUAAACCACUUUUCUUAGCGAAGAAAAGUCUUAGGCUAAUACCUUAAGACGCUGACGGUAGCUAAGGAAUAAGCAUCGGCUAACUACGUGCCAGCAGCCGCGGUAAUACGUAGGAUGCAAGCGUUAUCCGGAAUUAUUGGGCGUAAAGGGAGCGCAGGCGGCUUAUUAAGUCUGAGGUUAAAGUUCGGGGCUCAACCCCGUGAUGCCUUAGAAACUGGUAGGCUAGAGUGCAGGAGAGGUGAGUGGAAUUCCAUGUGUAGCGGUAAAAUGCGUAGAUAUAUGGAGGAACACCAGUGGCGAAGGCGGCUCACUGGCCUGUAACUGACGCUGAGGCUCGAAAGCGUGGGGAGCAAAUAGGAUUAGAUACCCUAGUAGUCCACGCCGUAAACGAUGGAUACUAAGUGUUGGGAUAGAAUCUCAGUGCUGUAGU